Monodelphis domestica (gray short-tailed opossum) is the source of this 1388-nucleotide long non-coding RNA. RefSeq lists it as uncharacterized. The record is from RefSeq and is a predicted model, not a curated record. NCBI's taxonomy places the organism in Eukaryota, Metazoa, Chordata, Mammalia, Didelphimorphia, Didelphidae.
GCUCGGGCUCGGGCUCGGGCUCGGGCUCCAGGCUCCCCCCGCUCGCUUCCAGCCACUCCACGUGCACAGAUCCACAGGGGCAGCCGCGCCCUCCGGAGCGCAGCGUGGGCGCCUAGCCUGCGGGGCCCCGGAACGUAGGGAGUUGCUAGUGCGGAGAAAGGCACCCACAGCUGCCGGCUCCGGCUGCAGGGCUACUCCCAUUACAGAAGCCGAGUUCUUCCAUAGAGGCACACAAACACGCGCGCGCGCACACACACAAAUACAGCCAAACACUUUAAACACACUUUGCAUCGACCACAGGAUAUACAGUACUGACAGUCGAAAUGAUUGAGGAAACACGAAGCGACCCCGGAAUACACAACCGAAAGAGCCGAGAAGACUCAGUCGGGACACUCGCGGAUCCCACCAUAUACAGCCGAGACGCAAAGUUUUCUAGACACUCUCCCGGCCUCCGGGACACACGAGGGCCACACAGUUGUCUAAACAUUUGCACGGACCCCAGAAUACACAACAGAGAAUCAGAGUUGGUUCAAACACACACACGCAACCCCCGAAGGUGCACAGGCGCCGUUGCUAAAGUCCCCGGAGGGUUCCCCAGAAUAUUCAACAAAACACUAGCGGAUCCCCUCAAACCCUACGGAGGCACGUAACAUGGACACUGAUCCACGCACAAAAACAAACACGUAGUGGACAGAGCGUCACAGUGUAGGCACCAGAGGUAGUGCCCAAAUGUUUGAAGGAUCGGCUUUACUAGAUAUUUUUACAAACCUCAGCCCAAAACACGUGCCCACAAUUAUAGCAAAACACACGGGGCCUCUGUGACACCCCGGCGUGCAGAAAAUCAGGGGCGAAUUUGUAAAGCAAACAGUGAAACGCCCCUGCCCCAGAGUCAGAGGUGACCGGUUCCCGGGAAUCCAGCUUUACUCCAGGUACAUGAGAUACAAAGAGAAAAAUGAAAUAAGUGGAAUAUGAGGGAAUUUCCAACCAGUGAAGGAGAAAACACACACAUGUACAGCACACAGAGCCAAGGUUCCAGCUGGGUUUCCACAGGUACCCUGGCCAUUAUCUGGAAUGAAUAGGGAGGGCAAGUUCAAAGAAGUCUUCCAGUGGUCAGGUAAACGAUGAAGAGAAAUGGCAAGAAAGAAUGAGUCUGUGCCUAAAGAAUCAGAAAGAUGACCAGGGUUCAUCGAAUCCAACUUCCUGCUUGAUGGAAGGUUUUCUUCUACCGCACCUCCAACCAAAGAAUGAGCAUUCCCGUUCUUUUUGGAUAUAUCUGGUGUUCUUCCUGCGACAGAGCUCACUCAGUAUUGCAAGAGGAAGUGCGGUUCCACAUAUAUAUUACCAAUUACGUGUAAUUGGAAAUCAUAAAUUUCUACACAAGUUUCCUA